RNAcentral lists this ribosomal RNA (1002 nucleotides) under Triticum aestivum (bread wheat). Its description in RNAcentral is "partial small subunit ribosomal RNA". The record is from RNAcentral. Lineage: Eukaryota; Viridiplantae; Streptophyta; Magnoliopsida; Poales; Poaceae.
AUGGGCGUGAUGAGUUCCUCCGUCGUGGUCUUCGGCAAUGAUGACGAGGACGCCAGCGUGGGCGAGAAUUCCGUCGUGGUCUCCGGCAAGGGCAAUGACGCCGUCAAGCCCUCGUGCACGGUGCAGUAUUCCUGCGUCAAGCGGCUUCGUGAGCGGCGCCUGCUCUCCUUCCUCGUGGACCAAGGCUUCCACGGCGCCUUCAGAGAGCUGAAUCGCGAGACGGGGGUGCUGUUCAACGUGGAGCACAUCCGGCGGCUGGUGAGGCGGGGACAAUGGGAUGAAGCCCUCAUGUACCUCAACACCUUCCUGCCGCCGUUCAUCAGUGAACGUCGGAGCUUCCGUGCCAGGAUCUUCAACAACUUCCUCCUCAUGCACCCCCGCUUCGCCAACGUGGUCACCGGCAACAAGGACAUGCACCUGGACAAGCAGUACGCCUACGGCCGCAGCAGCUCCACCCGCGCCGAGCGCAGGUUCCGCUCCAUGAACUACUCCAUACUCGCCCCGGACUCGGGCCACCUCAGGGCCGCCAUCGACUGGGACAAGGUGAGGAGCCACGCAGCGUGUCUUAUCCCCGAGUUGGCUCACCGUACUCCGGAGCUGAAACGCCGGACGGUGCUGCCGUCCCGCUGCAUGAUGCCGCACGAUGUACUCCCCAUUGGGACCGGCCAGCGGUAUUGCCGCCUCGUUAGGGAUUCGAGCAUUGAUCAGACUUUGCAGGCUGGUCUACCUAGAGGUUGCACACUAAGCUAUGACUUUCAACCAAGUGGGAAGGAAGUUGAACUUGCUGCAGAUGCUUUUGAUGCUCCGUCAGAGCAGACCAUGCUUGGCGCAUCCAAAGAUAAUGUUAAAGUCCAUGCCACAUCGUUAGUGAAAAUUUCUGGUGCUCCAAUAUGCCAGAUCAUUUCUGGUACCUUGAAAGUUCAUGCUGAAAACCCUGGGAUCUCAACACCGACAAAUGCAGAGAAUAUGUAUUCUGUAAUCAAGUGUCAAUGUUCACCAUAG